GCCAGAUUCCACGAUUUGGGGAUUCCCUAUGAGGAGCCGGCGCGUCGUCCUCAUCGCAGGCGGGCGGGUGUUGGCAUGUGCGCGUACGGAGGAGCUCCACCUCACCCACUUCAGCUUCCUCCUGUCGUCAUCAUCGUCCUCCGCGCGACCACGCCAGCUUCCAUGGUUUGGGGGAGCCUUCCCUAUGAGGAUCCAGCGUGUCGUCCUUGUCGCACCCUAAUUAGGUUCCUGGUGUGUCCGCACCGCCGCACCCUAAUUUGAUUUCGACUAGAGUCUAGGACGUCAGCGCACCAGUUUACCAAUCAGGUCGUUAGCACUGCCGUCCAGGUGAUAAUAAACGCCGUUCACCACAACAAGAGGUGAGAGGCAGAUUCCAGAUAAGGUAUGCCCUAGCAGGUUUUAUGAACCAGAGGCGAGAGGCAGAUUCUUGAUGAUGAUUUUCAACUGGAUCUUAUAUUAUCAUAGCUUUAUGCUAAUUUCCAAAAAUAAUUGUCCUUUUCAAUUUUAGUACUGUCAUGCCAUCUCGAAAGUAUGCAUUGAGAAGAAAUUGUUGGAUGAGAUAGAUAGUUACUAUCAUUACUAAUUUACUAAUUUGCAUCUCGGAUGAUUUUAUUAUUUGAUAUGCUUAAUGAUUUUAGAUGCCCUUUUUUGGCCUCUAAAUUUAUGUCUACAUAGAUUGAUUAUUAUUUAGACCUUUAUACUAAAGGCCCUGGAUUUUUGUUUCGCCCUGGGCCCCUAAAAUCCGAGGACCGGACCUGCCGGCAGCACUUGAUUCUAUUUUAGCUGCAACCAAGUAUCUACUUUAAAGUUAUAUAGAUCAGAUUUUGUCGAUAAAGCUGAUUUUCCUGAUCCUAUAAUCCUUGUUCUGUCAAGCCAAACAUGUCAUUUUCUUUAAGUUUGCAUAACUGUAGUUUUUAUUUGUCAAUUUUCUAAAGUUUUAUGAACACUUCUGUUUUUCUGUCGAGCACUAAUAGAGAGAAAACUGUUUUCUUAUUUUUAACCGGGAGCAAACUGCGUAGCAAGAUCAAUAAUGAAUGGUUCAAGUCAUGUGUUACAAGUUACAAUGAGCAGGUGGUACUCAAGUCCAUUGAUGAUAAGGAUAUUAUUCGAACAUUUACUGCAAUGAGGUCUCGGAAAGGGCAUUUGCCUCGUGAUUGUCUUUAGUGCGCUGUCGGUAUUCGGCAUGCCAGCGCCUUCGUCGACCUCCACUCGCCAAUCUGUAACGCCUAUGCCCGUGGUGGCGGGUCACACUCUGAUGCAGCCGUGCACGCCGCCGCUACCAGACGACACCCCCAUCGAGUAAUACACCCCAGUCGAGAUUUUCUAUAUCAUCUCUGCCAAGGCGCAGUCAUCGGAAGAGAUUCAGGUAAGAUUAUCCUUGUUUUCUACAUCAAAUUUUGCAUGUUCAUCUAUCUAAUCUUUGAUACUACAUUUCUUAGCUAAUGUCCUCCUUGCCUGUACCAUGUUCAUAUGAUUAACAAAGGCUUGGCCAUCUUAAUAUAGUAGCCCGUGAGGUGGAUAUAUAUACUACUCCCUCCAUUCCUAAAUAUAAGUCUUUUUACAGAUUCCAAUAUGGACUACUGAAUGAAUCUACACUCUAAAGAAUGUCUAUAUGCAUCCGUAUGUAGUCCAUAUUGAAAUUUCUAAAUGGACUUAUAUUUAGAAACAGAGGGAGUACUUCAGUUUGCAUGAGAGAAUAAUCACUUAUAUGUGUGCCUUGAUAUUAUAGUAGGAUUGCUUGGAUUAUUUCUGUAGUACUUUGUCCAAAAAUGUUGUUCUAAUCCCUAGCUCACUUGAACCUGGGUGAACAGUAAAAUAAUUAAAAAAUCUGAUUUUUUUAGUGUGAAACAUUGACAAAUGUUUUCAUAGCGAAUAGAAAUUUUUCACCAGAUGACAUUCGUGGAAAAUAUGUCCAAAAAUAGUUGCAAAUUUAUCACCAGAUAACAUUGUGGAAAAUAGUUGCGUCCGUACAGUGUGUUCUUCGUCGAAUUUGUGUUUGAUUUUUUCACUAUAUAUUACUUCUUGCUUGCGCGAGGGUGGUGUAGAUUUGUUAUUUUUUGCCCCGAAAAGAAGGUAGCCGGAUUAGUAGUCUAAUUGAGUAGAUGCUGGUGAGUGAGGGUUACUUGAUUUUUAUUGAGUACAUUAUGCUCUGCUUUGUGACGAGGUUUGAAAUUUGAUGGUUCUGAUGUGUAAUAGAGGGGGCAAAAGUGUUAUCCAUUUCAUUGUUUCUGUGCAUGUUUACGUUGACAUCGGUGGCGGGAGGCGGCAUUGCUGGCGGCCGAAGGGGUGCUUGUGGAAGCAGGUGGAAUAGUCGGCAGCUGUGGGGAUUCGUUAUUCUCCGAGGUUGGCGGGCUCGACGUGAGGCUCGAUGGGGCUGCGGGAUUGUCAAGCAGGACACCAAGCGUUUGGGAAAGUGGCAUGGUGCUGGUCCUUGAAAUUGAUGUUCUUAGUGAUUUAUGAUGGAGUUUUAUCUGAAUUUAACAUCGCUGUCCUCAACAUCAAUUUUGUUGACUCAUAGGCGGGUGAUUGCUCAACGAUGACUGGAGACGAUCUUCGGUAUUACAACUGGUUUAUACCAAUGGGUUAUUUGCAUCUCAAGUUAAAUUAGUCACUGUUGAUCAACAAUGAGAUGUGGCCAUUGUUUGAUGGAUCAUUGAUGGUACGGAUGUGCAAUGAAACAAUGAUAUACCCACUGUAUUGGACCCAAACACCUUCCUGAAAAUUGUUCUGAAGGGGUUAGCACAAGGAAACUAUUGUUAUGACUUGCGAGGUCUGCUGGAGGUGACCGGAUCCGGAUGACUUGAGCAAAGCUGUGAAAAUUCACGGCAAGGGAUGGGGGUACAAGGCAUGGGUCUGCGGCGCCACACCUUGCUGUUCCCUGCCGGUGGCCAGCGAGCUGUGGCGGUGCUUCUCUGUUGCAUGGCGAGGGACUGGGGUGCAAGGCGUGCAUCUGCAGUGCCACUCCUGGGGCAUGCCUCUCCCGCGACAUUGCCGGCAUACACAACAUACCUUACUACACGGGGAUUUCCUCUCUGAACUAAAUAUUAUGUCAGAACUGAAUAUUACGUCCGAAGACUGAAACAUCCAGAAAGCUUAUUGAGACUAUUCAUUGAUGGUGUUUCUCUACUACACGAGGAAGUUUCAUGUGCCAAUUAGGCAUGGACGACGACGGCCAUGAUCCCAUCAUCGCAAGCUCAUGGGAGGGAGACACACGUCUCAUCCAGUGUAAUAGCACGCUCCAAAAAAUCCCUAACCCUCCAUGGAGCCAUUGCCAGGGUGAUGAGAUCAACACCACCCACCAGCACCACCACCGAGUCGUAGACGGCGUGUCAUGGUGGUCCCUAGCUCUUCCCGCCUCUUAAGAGACCACAUGGCGUUCUGGCAGUUCUGGUGCAGUUUUUGGCCAAGGCUGGAAGCCAAGAACACUUAAUUUUGAUCAUGGACGUGACAUUGUGGUCGGCGUUGUGUGGUGCAGUUCAGAGUUUUCUUGCCUGGCGUAUAACAAUGCAUGUUCAAUGGGGUAGCCUCUUCUCAGGCACGAGUAUCCGAGGCAGACCAUGACAUCUAUUUAGAAUAGCUACAACAAAAUUGUGACAGAGAUGGUUAGUGGGAGAAGGAACUUGAGACCACAGUCAAUUCUGCUGUAGGGGCUGUGUGUAGAAGAUAGUAGUAGCAAACAUAGAAGUCACUUUGGAAAAAAAGUGUGCAUAUAUUGUUGUACUAGAGAUCCAUUCCUAUAUUUCACUGAUAUGCAUGGUUGAAUUGUAGUAUGUGUGAUAAGUGAGAAUAAUGUAAUAUGAAGCGAAACGUGGUGGACAGGGCUUCACAUUGUUGUUUUUCAGUAGAAUAUGAUGUUCGUCUCUUUUUCAUA
Triticum aestivum (bread wheat) is the source of this 3871-nucleotide long non-coding RNA. RefSeq lists it as uncharacterized. The record is from RefSeq and is a predicted model, not a curated record. The transcript has 7 exons. Lineage: Eukaryota; Viridiplantae; Streptophyta; Magnoliopsida; Poales; Poaceae.